RNAcentral lists this long non-coding RNA (473 nucleotides) under Ailuropoda melanoleuca (giant panda). RNAcentral's name for it is "lncRNA (ENSAMEG00000030771.1)". The record is from RNAcentral. Lineage: Eukaryota; Metazoa; Chordata; Mammalia; Carnivora; Ursidae.
AAAUUAUUUUAUUUUUGUCAUUUGUCAGCACUAACAGGUUGGAGGAGAGACGUCUGUCAGAGCUGACACAGAGUCUCUGAAGGGAUUCUGCAAAAAGAACAAGUCUUUGUGGAGGUACUGGGUCACAUUUUUCAAAGCCUGUCUCACACCCCAUUGGAAGAGCACCCCCAGGGAGGGAGAGGUUCCUGCAGAGUGCUUCACAGCAGGAGGGAAGCAGGAACACCCCCCUCUGUCCUCCAGAGUUUUGGGAGCCCCGGCAUCAGUGAGGCGGGGGACACCCCCGGACUGAAAGUUUCCAUGGCCUGGAUCGUCAAAGUCCCGCAUUUCUGGUUCUAAAGCCAAGAAGAACCGCAGAGCUAUCUAAGGAGGUCUGGUGUCUUCACUUGUGACGGACAUGAGGGCUGGGCAGGGAGAAUGAGUGCGAGGCAGAGUCCAAACUGGAGUCCAGGCCCCACUGCCCCAUGGUCAGUCUC